RNAcentral lists this transfer RNA (77 nucleotides) under Thermoanaerobacter ethanolicus subsp. thermohydrosulfuricus. RNAcentral's name for it is "tRNA-Arg". It matches the Rfam family "tRNA". Rfam says of the family: Transfer RNA (tRNA) molecules are approximately 80 nucleotides in length. Their secondary structure includes four short double-helical elements and three loops (D, anti-codon, and T loops). Further hydrogen bonds mediate the characteristic L-shaped molecular structure. tRNAs have two regions of fundamental functional importance: the anti-codon, which is responsible for specific mRNA codon recognition, and the 3' end, to which the tRNAs corresponding amino acid is attached (by aminoacyl-tRNA synthetases). tRNAs cope with the degeneracy of the genetic code in two manners: having more than one tRNA (with a specific anti-codon) for a particular amino acid; and 'wobble' base-pairing, i.e. permitting non-standard base-pairing at the 3rd anti-codon position. Lineage: Bacteria; Bacillati; Bacillota; Clostridia; Thermoanaerobacterales; Thermoanaerobacteraceae. The record is from RNAcentral. RNAcentral also lists the same sequence under 16 other names.
GCGCCCUUAGCUCAGUUGGAUAGAGUGACAGGCUUCGAACCUGGAGGUCGUGGGUUCAAAUCCUACAGGGCGCACCA